UACGUAGGUGGCGAGCGUUGUCCGGAUUUACUGGGCGUAAAGGGAGCGUAGGCGGACUUUUAAGUGAGAUGUGAAAUACUCGGGCUCAACUUGAGUGCUGCAUUUCAAACUGGAAGUCUAGAGUGCAGGAGAGGAGAAUGGAAUUCCUAGUGUAGCGGUGAAAUGCGUAGAGAUUAGGAAGAACACCAGUGGCGAAGGCGAUUCUCUGGACUGUAACUGACGCUGAGGCUCGAAUGCGUGGGGAGCAAACAGG
Molecule: ribosomal RNA, 253 nt
Filed under: uncultured bacterium
Lineage: Bacteria
Description: partial 16S ribosomal RNA
Rfam family: Bacterial small subunit ribosomal RNA
Source: RNAcentral